AAACACUUUAUUAUCCUCAGCACGGUUACAAUGAAGAGUGGGGACAGGGUAGAGGCUGAGCUUGGGCUUCCUUUCACAUCACACUCCCUUCGUGAUUGCCCCUUGUCUUCUCCCUUCCUAAUCCCAGUCCUAAAAGGAGAAUCUGACUUUGGUGGGGACAGGGGCAAGAAACCCAAGGACACUGAUGUCUGAGCUCCUUGUACUGGGAGUCAAACAUGCCCCCCAAAACAGAAAGAAACUAGAUUCUUCAACAAAUUCCAGGUCCAAGACUCCUAGUCCCGGCUGCCUGUGUUUCUCCAGAGACUUAAUAAUGCCUAUGGGGAUGGGGAUGUGAGGGGACACAGGACUUGGCUGACCAGAACGAGGGAUACAAGGAUCCAGUUGGGGAACACUGCUGUUUAAAUAUUAAACAGGGUUGGUUUGUCUCCCACAUGGGAGACCUUCUCAUGCUUCCUGGGGCCCCAAGGUAGAUACCUCAGGGUUCACUGUGGCUCUUCUUAGUGCCCCACAGAGCCAGGGCCAGGGAGCAGCUCCAGGAAGAAAUACUUGGUAUUUACCUAUCUACCUCCCACCCAGUGGACAGGAGGACAGGAGCUUUUUCUCACUGCUACAGGCAGGAGAAUGAAACUCGGAGAUGGAGGGAAGGACACAGAGGUCUGGGGCUCUGUUCUCUCUUCCCUGACUUUAAAUAUUAGGCUUAAAUAAGCAUAAAUAUUAAAUAGAGAUAAAUACACUGGGUGGGGAGGGCUUUGCU
RNAcentral lists this long non-coding RNA (754 nucleotides) under Marmota monax (woodchuck). Lineage: Eukaryota; Metazoa; Chordata; Mammalia; Rodentia; Sciuridae. The record is from RNAcentral.